Molecule: ribosomal RNA, 796 nt
Filed under: uncultured bacterium
Lineage: Bacteria
Description: bacterial SSU rRNA
Rfam family: Bacterial small subunit ribosomal RNA
Source: RNAcentral
CAAGUCGAACGCGAAAGUCCCCUUCGGGGGACAAGUAGAGUGGCGUCCGGGUGAGUAACACGUAGGUAAUCUACCUUCGGGUGGGGAAUAACGCAGGGAAACUGNCNCUAAUACCGCAUAAUGCAGCGGCACCACAUGGUGACAGUUGUUAAAGCGGGGGAUUUUCGAACCUCGCGCCUGAAGAGGAGCCUGCGGCAGAUUAGCUAGUUGGUAAGGUAACGGCUUACCAAGGCGACGAUCUGUAGCCGGCCUGAGAGGGCGGUCGGCCACACUGACACUGACAUACGGGUCAGACUCCUACGGGAGGCAGCAGUCGGGAAUUUUGGGCAAUGGGCGAAAGCCUGACCCANCAACGCCGCGUGAAGGAUGAAAUCCCUCGGGAUGUAAACUUCGCAAGAAUGGGAAGAAUUAGCGAGUACUAAUAUUGCUCGUGAUGACGGUACCAUUUGUAAGCUCCGGCUAACUCCGUGCCAGCAGCCGCGGUAAUACGGGGGGAGCAAGCGUUGUUCGGAUUUACUGGGCGUAAAGGGCGCGUAGGCGGCCAGCGCAAGUCAGUUGUGAAAUCUCCGAGCUUAACUCGGAAAGGUCAACUGAUACUGCGCGGCUAGAGUGCAGAAGGGGCAACUGGAAUUCUCGGUGUAGCGGUGAAAUGCGUAAAUAUCGAGAGGAACACCUGCGGCGAAGGCGGGUUGCUGGGCUGACACUUGACGCUGAUGCGCGAAAGCCAGGGGAGCGAACGGGAUUAGAUACCCCCGGUAGUCCUGGGCCUUAAACGAUGGAUGCCUUGGUGUCUGGA